This is a non-coding RNA of Triticum urartu, 3309 nucleotides long. The record is from RefSeq and is a predicted model, not a curated record. Lineage: Eukaryota; Viridiplantae; Streptophyta; Magnoliopsida; Poales; Poaceae.
CAAAAAAAAGGUAAAUCCCAAUGAGUCGUUUGUAUCCUCAGUUCUAGUAAAAGCAGGAUUUCAUUCAGUUAUCAGAAUAUUAAGUAUCAAAGACAUUUGUUGGGUUGCCAUAAAAAUCAAAGUGCUUCAAUACUUAACAAAAAUAUUGGACAUAUUUUAAAUGAAAAUACAAUCAUUACAAUUUACAAGUGCGUUUGAGUGAUGGGGAUUAGGGAUUUCUUUGGGAAGUUUUACCGCUAGAUAUUUCACCUGUUCUCAACAAAACAAAAAGAAUAGAAACAUAAACAUCUUUAAGCCAAACAAGAUGAAUCUAUGUAUCAUACUUCAACCUAACAAACCAGUCACACACUUUGUGGCACGACGUCCUCUACUGAAUCUGACUGACUGCUCGUCGGCCCAUUCCCAGGGAUGACUUUGUGGAGUGGUGGUAGCAAACCAUUCUCCAGAUGCCCACUGCCACAUGCAAGGGAGCUUAAUUGGCGAUCAUGUUUAUGUCGUGUUCUUUUUUUGUUUUGUUUUUUUACUCCGGAAUCGUUCUAUGGUAAUUUUCUAUUAAGGAAAAUUUCAAAUAUGUACAAGGUAACGAAAAGAGCUAAAGAAACCUAGAGAACAAAGUAGAAUGCAAUGUAAUGGUGCCAUCUCCUUGUUUCGUAGAGCUAAUGAGAUGGAAUGGAAUGGUUCCGUCUCGGUGUUUGGUUUCGUCUAAAUUCAACACUAAUGCUGACAGUAAACAUCAUUUAGCAACUACUAGUAUUAAAUUCAUGUCAACAAGUACUGGUACUAAGCAUCAUUUGUAAAAGUAAUGCAUCACCGUGUGCAUCUACACACAUCUUCAAGCAGGAUAGAAGGAAGCGCCGAGGAUUUGAUUCCUUGCACCUUCACUCAGGUCAGCCCGCUGCCCAAAUCAGCCUUCCUUGGUGGGCAGCACCAGCGUAGGUGGUGACGGCGGAGAGCUGUGCUCGGGAGGCGGGGUCAUCGGGCCAUGGCGUGGUGGAGGUGGAGGAGCAGCCGGUCAGAGCUCGGGUGAGCGCAGGUCAGAGGUUGACGACAGUGGCUGUUGGGGUCGACCAUAGUGCAGAAAGAGGCAGCGGCAGAGGCUGGCAUGGCCAUGACAGUGAGGGAGGAGGCACCUGCGGAAGCCGGUGAUAGAGCUAUGCAGAGGCAAGGUCAUGGAGGAUUGGCUGUCAGGCGCGCAGCUAAAAAGCACGGACACGCCAGGAAUCGCCGAACUGCCGUCCUGAUACGCCGGGAUACGCGAAUUUUGGAGUAUCCCCGAAAUUCGAAUUAAAAAAAAAGAAAAAACAAUUGGGAUACGCUGGGAUACGCGGGGACACGUUAGGGAUACGGCCUGGACCAUCAGGAACCCUAUUUUGCAGGGUCACGACAUAAUGAAGAGGCGCUCCCUCCCUGCCUCCCAGGUCGCACAGAUGGCGCCGCCACCUCCUGGACACUUCCCCACCGCCUGGACUCGCCGCCACCGCCGCCGGCGCGCCUGGAUUCGACCGGCGACCGUCCCCUCCAGCAGCAGCAGCAGCAGCCUCUCCUCGCAGCCGCAGGUACCAAACCAUGGCAUCUGCGAGUGGCACAGCCGGUAGCCAAUCAUCCGUGGGUGAGAGUGAAGGGCGUCCGGGUUCUGGUGCUGCAAUUGGGAGCCAAAUGGCAUUGCAAAUUGGAUGCAACUUGCAAUGACGAGGAUCAAACAAGCACUUGAUAAAAGAGCCACCAAAUGGGGCAGUAUUCUCUAUUCUCAACUCUUUUUCUUUUAAUUUUCUGUCUUAAUUCUAUAUUAUAUGUCAUAUUUUUAUUUUAUUUUAUAUAUACUCACCGUAUCCCCGAAUGGCUGUUUUUGGAAAAUACCCUAUCCCGUAUCCCCGUAUGCGUAUCCCCGUCCUUCCGUCCCCGUGUCCGUGCUUUUUAGGCGCGCAGGGUGCAUGGAGGCACAAUCGAGAGGAAGCAGAUGCGGGCAGGGAGGCCACAACGCCGGCCGGACGCGAGCAGAUGGCGGCUUGGCUGCACGGCGCUGCGGGCGACGUCCAUGGUGACCGUGCAGCAAGGUAGAAGUGGGUUUGGGAGCUCUUGUGAGGGAGCCUGCAGGGAGGAGGGCGAUGGACAGGCGGCUUGUAGGCCGGCUGGCUUCGCCGGCGGUGGUCGGGAGGCCAACCGGCAGCUGAGCGCGUGGGAUCGGGUGCAUCUCCCCCGGUGGUGGCUGCUUGUUGGGGUGAGACGAGAGAGGGUGAGAGGAAUGAGUGCAUUCUGCAUCUCGGGGGUAUAUUCCCCUCAGGUGGAAUCAGUGCAUUCUGUUUUCCUCUCGAGCCAAACGCAGGAACCGAGGUCAGGGACAUCACAGAUCCAUUACAUUCUACUUCAUUACUGAAACCAAACACAUCCCUAAAAAUAUACAUCUAUACAAUUCCUGAUUUCUGCAGCAUUGUGAUGAUUUGCUCUUAAGCUCUGAUCUUGAGGUCUUUCUUGAGGAUGUUGCACCACCCUUGAACAUGUGGGGCAGCACUAUGAGUUUUUUGCCAUUCCUUAAGAGUACAUAUGCUCCAGCAGCGCAUGAUUACUAGUUCAAGAGCAAUUGUAUUAGGCAAGUCUUGAGUGGCUAGAAGAGCCUCAUCAAAGAAUGAUAUUCCUCUGUUCUUAUUAGGAAUGAUCAUCUGUCAACAGUUUUGAUCAAAAGGGCAGUCCCAAUAUAGGUGGACUGGAAGCAGCACAAUGAAACCAUCCUAGCGUCGCCAGUUUGCUUGACAGAAUCAAAGCUGAGGUCAGAUUGUGCGCAGGGACAGUGGUGACGGGCCUUAGACAAUUUUGCCUGCAGUGCCUACCACCUAGUGUGUAGCGUUGUACUUUGGGGUGUGGCCUCUCGUAGGCUUGUACAUACAACUUCUUCUAUCAAUACAUUGAGACACAAGGCUUUUGCAUUCCAUCUAAAAGAACUAACAAACCAGCAAAAGAACAUAUAUUUUUUCUUUCCAAAAGUCCUGCUUACCAUCAUCUAUUUUAAAAAAUUGCCAUCCAAAGAGCCCUUAGAGGUUUAUCAAGCAAAUGCAAAAGCUGAAAAGGAAUGCAAGUGGCCUAAUUUUUUUUUUCUUUCGAGGUGGAUUCUCAAGCAACGGAAAUAACCAAAUUGCCUUUUGAGCAUGGCUAAAAUAGUUUAGGCGCAGAGGAUUACUUAUCAAGAUAAUAUAAUAGAAUUAAUGAAUUAGUGCACACACCUUAAUGUGAUCCCAGUCCAUGUUAACAACAGCAAGCCUAUGAGUUUCCUUAUCAAUCAUAGGUGUAUCAUCAUGCCUCGCCAUCAAGUAAUGA